Molecule: ribosomal RNA, 253 nt
Filed under: uncultured bacterium
Lineage: Bacteria
Description: partial 16S ribosomal RNA
Rfam family: Bacterial small subunit ribosomal RNA
Source: RNAcentral
UACGUAGGGCGCAAGCGUUGUUCGGAGUUACUGGGCGUAAAGGGUGUGUAGGCGGUCUUCUAAGUUUGGUGUGAAAUCUCCCGGCUCAACUGGGAGGGUGCGCCGAAAACUGGAAGGCUAGAGUACUGGAUGGGAGAGUGGAAUUCCUGGUGUAGCGGUGAAAUGCGUAGAUAUCAGGAGGAACACCUGUGGUGUAGACGGCUCUCUGGACAGUAACUGACGCUGAGACACGAAAGCGUGGGUAGCAAACAGG